UCAAGCGAGUAAGGGUCCAUAGGGGAUGCCUUGGCGCUAUCCGACGACGAAGGCCGUGGUAAGCUGCGAAAAGCCUGGGUGAGGAGCAAACAUCCUGUGAGCCCAGGAUUGCCGAAUGGGGUAACCCGGCAAUCUUGAUGAUUGUCAUUUCUGUGCUGAAUCUAUAGGUACAGAAAAGUGAAAUGCAGGGAACUGAACCAUCUAAGUACCUGUAAGAAAAGAAAUCAACUGAGAUUCUCUGAGUAGCGGCGAGCGAAAAGAGAAUAGCCCAAACCAAGAAGAUUUUGGUCUUCUUGGGGUUGUAGGGCUUCCUUUUUGAGUGAUAAAGUAGUCAGUUAGCAGAAAAAGCUGGAAAGUUUUGCCAAAGAGAGUGAUAGCCUCGUAAGCAAAAACUGACUGCCUCUUUGGGAGUUCCUGAGUACAGCGAGGCACGGGAAACCUUGUUGGAAUCUGGGGGGACCACCCUCCAAGGCUAAAUACGAGAUAGCGACCGAUAGUGUACGAGUACCGUGAGGGAAGUGGUGAAAAGAACCCCUGAAGGGGAGUGAAACAGAACCUGAAACUAUGGAUCUACAAGCUGUAGGAGCUGUUCUUUUUAGGGAUAGCGACUGCGUGCCUUUUGCAGAAUGAGCCUGCGAGUUAUCCUGCGUAGCGAGGUUAAGGCAUGGAAAUGCCGGAGCCGGAGAGAAAUCAAGUCUAAAAUGGGCGAUGAGUUUCGCAGGGUAGACCCGAAACUGAGUGAUCUACUUAUGGCCAGGUUGAAGCUUGGGUAAUGCCAAGUGAAAGACCGAACCCUAGUCUGUUAAAAAAGGCAGGGAUGAGCUGUGAGUCGGAGUGAAAGGCUAAUCAAACUCAGAAAUAGCUGGUUCUCCCCGAAAUGGUUUUAGGAUCAGCCUUGUAUGUUUUUCGAUGGAGGUAGAGCACUGGUUAGGCUAGGGCGGGUCAAACUGUACCAAACUUAGCCAAACUCCGAAUGCCAUCGUUUUAUAGUGCAGGAGUGAGACUAUGGGUGAUAAGAUUCAUGGUCAAAAGGGAAACAGCCCAGAGCGUCAGCUAAGGUCCCUAAACUGUGUUCAGUGGAAAAGGAUGUGUAGUGGCAAAAACAGCCAGGAGGUUGGCUUAGAAGUAGCCAUUCCUUAAAAGAGUGUGUAAUAACUCACUGGUCGAGUUGCUAUGCGCCGAUAAUGUAACGGGGCUAAACACAGUACCGAAGCUACGCCUGCUGCAUUUAUUUGUAGCGGGGUAGGGGAGUGUUGCGUAAGCUGUUGAAGGUGAGGCGUGAGCCUUGCUGGAGGUAUCGCGAGUAAGUAUGCAGGCAUGAGUAACGAAAAAAGAGGUGAGAUACCUCUUCGCCGAAAGCUCAAGGUUUCCUGGGUAAAGUUUGUCUUCCCAGGGUUAAGCGGCCCCUAAGGUCAGGCCGAAAGGCGUAGCCGAUGGGUUAACUGGUUAAUAUUCCAGUCUUUCUGGUAAUUUCGAUGGAGUGACGUAUUAGGAGAGCUACAGCAGGGCGUUGGUUGUCCCUGUCUCAAGUGCAAGGUGCUGAGAGCCCUUGGUAAAUCCGGGGCUUGAGCUGAGCGUGAGAGCGAUCAAUACUACGGUUGCGAGAAGUGUAGGGAUUCAAGGUACCGAGAAAUAGCUUCUAAGGUCAGGUUAUCAGGAACCGUACCGUAAACCGACACAGGUGAGCGAGAUGAGAAAUCUAAGGCGUACAGGAGAACUCGCGUUAAGGAACUCGGCAAAUUACAUACGUAACUUCGGAAAAAGUAUGGCCUAACACAUAAUGGUGAGGUUGCAGAGUCCAAGUGGAAGCGACUGUUUAUCAAAAACAUAUGUCUCUGCUAACUCGCAAGAGGAUGUAUAGAGACUGACACCUGCCCGGUGCUGGUAGGUUAAGAGGAGUGGUCAGAGUAAUCAAAGCUGCGAAUUGAAGCCCCAGUAAACGGCGGCAAUAACUAUAAUUGUCCUAAGGUAGCGAAAUUCCUUGUCGGGUAAGUUCCGACCUGCACGAAUGGUGUAACGACUUCCACACUGUCUCAACGCGAGACCUGGUGAAAUUGUA
Molecule: ribosomal RNA, 2059 nt
Filed under: Millepora sp. RR-2016
Lineage: Eukaryota; Metazoa; Cnidaria; Hydrozoa; Anthoathecata; Milleporidae
Description: bacterial LSU rRNA
Rfam family: Bacterial large subunit ribosomal RNA
Source: RNAcentral